CACAGUGUGCACGUGGGUUGGUGUGUAUGGCUGUGUCUACAUGUGUGGUGGAUUCACGUGGCGAGUGGAGUGUGACAUGUUGUUGAGACCUACUCUGAUGUGCUUAUCUGCCAACUGUGAAAUGAAAUAGAAGACAGGGAGGCUUCGUAUGUGUACUUCGUGUACAACAAUGCGCGGUUCCUACAGGAGGUGUCCAUGGAUCUCCCUCUCUGUCUGUCUCUCUCUCUGUCUCUGUCUCUCUGUCUCUGUCUCUGUCUCCGUCUUCUCACGCCACUCUCUCCCCGUCUUCUCACGCCACUCUCUCCAUCUCUUUUCCCUCGCAGCCAGACCCUGCCGUCUCUCCCUCUGGGUCCUCCUGCCCGCAUGUCAGGAAUCUGCCUGGACAGGGUCCUCACUCCCCACCGAGGCAGCUCCAGGGGACCUGGAGGGCUUAAAGGGGCGGGGCUCAGACACUUGGGGACCGGAGUCAGGUUUCUGGGACACAGAAGGGCAACUCCUGGGUUCCAGGAUAGAGAAACUCCUCAGCCGAGUCUCGGGGUGCUGACCCCUCCCUGGGGCUCCCCCCUUCUCUUCUCACCUUCCCCCAGUACGAUGAGCUGCCGCACUACCCAGGCAUCGCGGAUGGCCCUGCAGCCCUGGCUGGCUUCCCAGAGGCAGUGCCCGCAGCACCAGGGCCCUAUGGCCCCCACCGGCCUCCCCAGCCCCUGCCCCCAGGCUUGGACAGCGACGGCCUGAAGAGGGAGAAGGAUGAGAUCUAUGGACACCCGCUCUUCCCCCUCUUGGCGCUGGUCUUUGAGAAAUGUGAACUGGCUACAUGCUGUCCCCGUGACGGGGCUGGAGCUGGGCUGCGGACACCCCCCGGCGGCGACGUCUGCUCCUCUGAUUCCUUCAACGAGGACAUCACAGCCUUCGCCAAGCAGGUGGGCACCCCCACCCGCCAUGCACGGCACCGGAGAGCCAGCAAGGAGGGGCGGGUGGAAGGCGGGACAUCCCCCUGCUGGCCUCUCUUCCCUCCCAGGUUCGCUCUGAGAGGCCCCUCUUCUCCUCCAACCCAGAACUGGACAAUCUGGUGAGACCCGAGCCCUCCCCAGUGGGUCUCCUGUCCUGACGCCCCAUCCCUGGGGUUGGCAGGUGGGGUGCGGAGAGAAGGCCACCUGGUUCAUGUUCCCAAAUGGUCAUGAUUGUUGCCCACAUGCCGUGUGGUACAGCCUAGAGUCUGAGAACGGGACCCAUGGCCCGAGUUCAAAUCCCAGCUGUGCCACUCACCAGCUCUGUGACCCAGGGCAAGUCACUCUGCAUCUCUGUGCCUCGGUGUCCCAUCUGUGAAGUGUGGCUGGUAGUAAUUUCUGUCUUGGAGGACUGCUGUGGGGAUUUAAUGAGUGAAUGCGAGUCAAGUGCAUGGAACAGCACCUGGCACAGAAUAGGGCUCAAAAAGUGUCUGAUGUUCCAUCCGUCAGAAGAUCAGCACCUAUGCCAAAGUGAGCGCAGGGACUGCUGCCCAAGGAGGGGAGGCCGGGUGCAGCAGCUCACGCCUGUAAUGCCAGCACUUUCGGAGUCCAAGGCCAGGAAAUAGCUUGAGACCAGGGUCAAGACCAGCCUGGGCAAUGUAGCGAGACCCCACCUCUAAAAAAACAUUUAAUUAGCUGGGCAUGGUGGCACUCGCCUGUAGUCCCAGCUACUCGGGAGGCUGAGGCAGAAUUGCUUGAACCUGAAAGGCAGAGGUUGCAGUGAGCCGAGAUCCUGCCACUGCACGCCAGCCUGGGCAACAAGGCGAGACUCCAUCUCGUUAAAAAAAAAAAAAAAAAAAAAAAAGCAAAGAAAGAGAGAGAGGGAGGGAGGGAGGAAAGGAGAGAGAGAGAGAGAGAGAAAGAAAGAGAGA
RNAcentral lists this small RNA (1879 nucleotides) under Pongo abelii (Sumatran orangutan). RNAcentral describes it as "retained intron". Lineage: Eukaryota; Metazoa; Chordata; Mammalia; Primates; Hominidae. The record is from RNAcentral.